GGAGNNNNNGAGCGUUGUUCGGAAUCACUGGGCGUAAAGGGCGUGUAGGCGGCCCGCUAAGUCUGAUGUGAAAGCCCGGGGCUCACCCCCGGAAGUGCAUUGGAAACUGGCGGACUCGAGUCCCGGAGAGGAGGGUGGAAUUCCUGGUGUAGCGGUGAAAUGCGUAGAUAUCAGGAGGAACACCGGUGGCGAAGGCGGCCCUCUGGACGGUGACUGACGCUGAGACGCGAAAGCGUGGGGAGCAAACAGGAUUAGAUACCCUGGUAGUCCACGCCGUAAACGAUGAGCACUAGGUGUCGCGGGUAUUGACCCCCGCGGUGCCGUAGCUAACGCAUUAAGUGCUCCGCCUGGGGACUACGGCCGCAAGGUUA
This 371-nucleotide ribosomal RNA is filed under the name uncultured bacterium. RNAcentral describes it as "bacterial SSU rRNA". It matches the Rfam family "Bacterial small subunit ribosomal RNA", at positions 527 to 896 of the family's 1533-position model. The record is from RNAcentral.